This 253-nucleotide ribosomal RNA is filed under the name uncultured bacterium. RNAcentral describes it as "partial 16S ribosomal RNA". It matches the Rfam family "Bacterial small subunit ribosomal RNA", at positions 524 to 776 of the family's 1533-position model. The record is from RNAcentral.
UACGGGGGGGGCAAGCGUUGUUCGGAAUUACUGGGCGUAAAGGGCUCGUAGGCGGCCAACUAAGUCAGACGUGAAAUCCCUCGGCUUAACCGGGGAACUGCGUCUGAUACUGGAUGGCUUGAGAUUGGGAGAGGGAUGCGGAAUUCCAGGUGUAGCGGUGAAAUGCGUAGAUAUCUGGAGGAACACCGGUGGCGAAGGCGGCGACCUGGUUCGAUACUGACACUGAGGUGCGAAAGCGUGGGGAGCAAACAGG